GAUGAACGCUGGCGGCGUGCCUAAUACAUGCAAGUCGAGCGAACAGACGAGGAGCUUGCUCCUCUGACGUUAGCGGCGGACGGGUGAGUAACACGUGGAUAACCUACCUAUAAGACUGGGAUAACUUCGGGAAACCGGAGCUAAUACCGGAUAAUAUAUUGAACCGCAUGGUUCAAUAGUGAAAGACGGUUUUGCUGUCACUUAUAGAUGGAUCCGCGCCGCAUUAGCUAGUUGGUAAGGUAACGGCUUACCAAGGCAACGAUGCGUAGCCGACCUGAGAGGGUGAUCGGACACACUGGAACUGAGACACGGUCCAGACUCCUACGGGAGGAAGCAGUAGGGAAUCUUCCGCAAUGGGCGAAAGCCUGACGGAGCAAAGCCGCGGGAGUGAUGAAGGUCUUAGGAUCGGAAAACUCUGUUAUUAGGGAAGAACAAAUGUGUAAGUAACUAUGCACGUCUUGACGGUACCUAAUCAGAAAGCCACGGCUAACUACGUG
RNAcentral lists this ribosomal RNA (497 nucleotides) under uncultured bacterium. Its description in RNAcentral is "partial 16S ribosomal RNA". It matches the Rfam family "Bacterial small subunit ribosomal RNA", at positions 28 to 507 of the family's 1533-position model. The record is from RNAcentral.